GGCGGCGUGCUUAGCAUGCAAGUCGGACGGGAAUGAGUCGCAANNUUCAAACCAGUGGCGGACGGGUGAGUCCAAGCAAGGAACCUGUCCCCUAGUCUCGCAUCGCUCGUCGAAAGCCGGGGUCAUCCGGUAUGUGGGGGAUNCCGUCUGCUCUCCCCUAAAGAGNUUAACCUCUCGCUUUUGGAGCGGCCUUGUGGCUAUCAGCCAGUUGGCAGGGUAAAAGCCUACCAAGGCGACGACGGCUAGGGGGCGUGAGAGCGCGACCCCCCACAAUGGCACUGAGACACGGGCCAUACAUCUACGGAUGGCAGCAACUGGGAAUCGUUGGCAAUGGGCGAAAGCCUGACCACGCGACGCCGCGUGAGGGAUGAAGGCCUUCGGGUCGUAAACCUCUUUUGAUGCCUCAUGAAGGGGCAUAGAAUAAGCAUCUACAAACUACGUGCCAGCAGUCGCGGUAAUACGUAGGAUGCAAGCGUUAUCCGGAUUCACUGGGCGUAAAGAGUCGUGUAGGUGGUUUGCCGCAUCGUACUUGAAAGCCCGAGGCUUAACCUCGGCGUUGGGUACGAGAUGGGUAGACUUGAGAGAAGCAGAGGAAAGGGGAACUGACGGUGAAGCAGUGAAAUGCGUUGAUAUCGUCAGGAACACCAAAGGCGAAGGCACCUUUCUGGGCUUCUUCUGACACUGAGACACGAAAGCUAGGGGAGCGAAGCAGAUUAGAGACCUGCGUAGUCCUAGCCCUAAACGCAUGUCUGCUAGAUGGGCAGUUUACUGUCUGUCGUAAGCUAACGCGUUAAGCAGACCGCCUGGGGAGUACGAUCGCAAGAUUAAAACUCAAAGGAAUUGACGGGGACCCGCACAACCGGUGGAGCGUGUGGUUCAAUUCGAUACAAAACGUAAGACCUCACCAGGUCUUGACAUCCCGACGUCCUAUCCCGAUGAAAAUCGGGAAAGUUCGCAAGAAGGUCGGGACAGCAGCUGCAUGGCUGUCGUCAGCUCGUGCCGUGGGGUGUUUCCUUAAGUGGAAGAACGAGCGCAACCCGUAUCCAAUGUUAUAUGUUUCAUUGGAGACUGCGGUGGCUUUAGCCACCGAGGAAGGAACGGACGACGUCAAGUCAGCACGGCGCUUAUGACCUGGGUAACACACACCCUACAAUGGCGAAUAACAAUGGGAUGCAAUGCGGCAACGUAAAGCCAAUCCCCUGUAAAUUUCGCCUCAGUUCAGAUUGGGGGCUGCAACCCGCCCCCAUGAAGUCGGAAUCGGUAGUAAUCGCGCAUCAGCAGGGCGCGGUGAAUACGUUCUCGGGUCUUGUACACACCGCCCGUCAAGCCAGCAAAGUUAGCGGCGGCCGAAGAGCCUCGCAAGGGAGCUAAGCCGAAG
This 1378-nucleotide ribosomal RNA is filed under the name uncultured Microgenomates group bacterium. RNAcentral describes it as "bacterial SSU rRNA". It matches the Rfam family "Bacterial small subunit ribosomal RNA". The record is from RNAcentral.